RNAcentral lists this unclassified non-coding RNA (734 nucleotides) under Hevea brasiliensis (rubber tree). Lineage: Eukaryota; Viridiplantae; Streptophyta; Magnoliopsida; Malpighiales; Euphorbiaceae. The record is from RNAcentral.
AGGAAAUAUUAUGAGAUCAGAUUGCUUUACCUUGCAGGUGCUAUUAUUGCUGGUUUACUUGGUGUCAUGCUCGACUUUCCACUUAUUUCAUUUGUUGCCCUCUACAAAAGCCCGUACAUGCUCUUUAAGGGGUGGCAUCGUCUGGUUCAUGACCUCAUAGGACGGGAAGGCCCAUUCUUGGAGACAAUAUGUGUACCAUUUGCAGGUCUUGCUAUCCUUCUCUGGCCAUUGGCUGUUGUUGGAGCAGUUUUGGGCUCCAUGGUAUCCAGCAUCUUCCUUGGUGCUUAUGCAGGCGUGGUUGUUUAUCAGGAUUCCUCAUUUUGGUUCGGGCUUUGCUAUAUUGUCGCAUCCUGGGCUAUUUAUGAUGAAUACAGCAAUGACAUCUUGGACAUGUCAGAAGGAUCUUGCUUUCCGAGGCCGAAGUACCGAAAAGCUGAACUGACAAAGAGCACAUCUCGUGCAUCCUCUUUUUCAAGGCCUAGUUCUUUUCAAAAUCGACUCAAGCGCACAGAGUCUCUUACACCUAUGCUUGAUCUAAAACCAUUUGCGGUGCUUGAUGCCUUAUUUAAGGAGUGUCAACGCCAUGGGGAGCAUUUUCUUUAUGAAGGAUUAAUAACACCAAAAGACAUUGAAGAUGCCAAGGCUAACAAGGGUGGCACUGUGGUUAGCAUUGGCUUGCCAGCUUAUUGCCUUCUUCAGGCGCUCCUGCGCUCUGUGAAAGCCAAUUCUGAGGG